RNAcentral lists this ribosomal RNA (472 nucleotides) under uncultured bacterium. RNAcentral describes it as "partial 16S ribosomal RNA". It matches the Rfam family "Bacterial small subunit ribosomal RNA", at positions 28 to 507 of the family's 1533-position model. The record is from RNAcentral.
GACGAACGCUGGCGGCGUGCUUAACACAUGCAAGUUGAACGCUGAAGCUUGGUGCUUGCACUGGGUGGAUGAGUGGCGAACGGGUGAGUAAUACGUGAGUAACCUGCCCUUGACUCUGGGAUAAGCCUGGGAAACUGGGUCUAAUACUGGAUACGACAUGUCACCGCAUGGUGGUGUGUGGAAAGGGUUUUACUGGUUUUGGAUGGGCUCACGGCCUAUCAGCUUGUUGGUGGGGCAAUGGCUCACCAAGGCGACGACGGGUAGCCGGCCUGAGAGGGUGACCGGCCACACUGGGACUGAGACACGGCCCAGACUCCUACGGGAGGCAGCAGUGGGGAAUAUUGCACAAUGGGCGGAAGCCUGAUGCAGCGACGCCGCGUGAGGGAUGACGGCCUUCGGGUUGUAAACCUCUUUCAGCACGGAAGAAGCGAAAGUGACGGUACGUGCAGAAGAAGCGCCGGCUAACUACGUG